Rattus norvegicus (Norway rat) is the source of this 779-nucleotide non-coding RNA. The record is from the annotation of a RefSeq genome assembly. Lineage: Eukaryota; Metazoa; Chordata; Mammalia; Rodentia; Muridae.
GAACAUAAGCAUCAUUCUCUCUUCCAGGUCUCAGAGAUGGAGACAGACAGACUCCUGCUAUGGGUGCUGCUGCUCUGGGUUCCAGGCUCCACUGGUGACACUGUACUGACCCAGUCUCCUGCUUUGGCUGUGUCUCCAGGAGAGAGGGUUACCAUCUCCUGUAGGGCCAGUGAAAGUGUCAGUACACUUAUGCACUGGUACCAACAGAAACCAGGACAGCAACCCACACUCCUCAUCUAUCUAGCAUCAAACCUAGAAUCUGGGGUCCCUGCCAGGUUCAGUGGCAGUGGGUCUGGGACAGACUUCACCCUCACCAUUGAUCCUGUGGAGGCUGAUGACACUGCAACCUAUUACUGUCAGCAGAGUUGGAAUGAUCCUCCCACAGUGCUCCAGGGCUGAACAAAUACCUCCUGUUUUUGCAGCUCACUGAGGCUCAGUGUCUCAGUUCUUGCUUCCUCUCUGACCUCUCAACACAGAGCUCUAAGCUGUUUUGGAAAAAGAUCUCAAAUAGUGAAACAAGCUUUUAUAAACAGAUACGCAUGUAUGUCCUAUUUUACAAGCUUUGGGAUUUAGUCAUAUCUGAACAAAAUUUAGACAUUUAUGAUAGUUUCUCAUUUACUAUUUAUCACUUAGAACGAUUGUGAACAUGUUUAUCUUAUGAUAUAUUUCAUGCUUUCUCCCUCAUCUCCUUGACCACAUCUCUGUCUAUUCCCUCCACUCUCACUAUUCCACCUUUGACCUUCCUAUCUCUUUAAAAAAGUUUUGCAUUUAAAAAAUAU